This 253-nucleotide ribosomal RNA is filed under the name uncultured bacterium. RNAcentral's name for it is "partial 16S ribosomal RNA". It matches the Rfam family "Bacterial small subunit ribosomal RNA", at positions 524 to 776 of the family's 1533-position model. The record is from RNAcentral.
UACGUAGGCAGCGAGCGUUGUUCGGAGUUACUGGGCGUAAAGGGUGUGUAGGCGGUUUUCUAAGUUUGGUGUGAAAUCUCCCGGCUUAACCGGGAGGGUGCGCCGAAAACUGGGAGACUAGAGUGCGGGAUGGGAGAGUAGAAUUCCUGGUGUAGCGGUGAAAUGCGUAGAUAUCAGGAGGAAUACCGGUGGUGUAGACGGCUCUCUGGACCGCAACUGACGCUGAGACACGAAGGCGUGGGUAGCAAACAGG